RNAcentral lists this unclassified non-coding RNA (295 nucleotides) under uncultured Ascomycota. RNAcentral describes it as "sequence contains ITS1". The stretch from base 1 to 105 matches the Rfam family "5.8S ribosomal RNA", at positions 50 to 154 of the family's 154-position model. Lineage: Eukaryota; Fungi; Ascomycota. The record is from RNAcentral.
GAAAUGCGAUAAGUAGUGUGAAUUGCAGAAUUCAGUGAAUCAUCGAAUCUUUGAACGCACAUUGCGCCCCUUGGUAUUCCAUGGGGCAUGCCUGUUCGAGCGUCAUUUGUACCCUCAAGCUUUGCUUGGUGUUGGGCGUCUUGUCGUAUUACGACUCGCCUUAAAUACAUUGGCAGCCGGCACUUUGGCCUAGGAGCGCAGCACAUUUUGCGAUCGUAGCCCGUUGUACUGGCGUCCAUCAAGAACAUUUACCACGUUUGACCUCGGAUCAGGUAGGGAUACCCGCUGAACUUAA